Molecule: ribosomal RNA, 491 nt
Filed under: uncultured Bacillota bacterium
Lineage: Bacteria; Bacillati; Bacillota
Description: bacterial SSU rRNA
Rfam family: Bacterial small subunit ribosomal RNA
Source: RNAcentral
GACGAACGCUGGCGGCGUGCCUAAUACAUGCAAGUCGAGCGGGGGGUUCUGCCUGAAGGGGCGUGAGCUUGCUCACGCGCUGGAAGGCGGGAUCCCUAGCGGCGGACGGGUGAGUAACGCGUGGGUAACCUGCCCCCAAGUCGGGGAUAACCCGGGGAAACUCGGGCUAAUACCGGAUACGCUCGCCUGCGGGCAUCUGCGGGUGAGGAAAGGCUGCGGCCGCUUGGGGAUGGGCCCGCGUCCCAUUAGCUAGUUGGUGAGGUAACGGCUCACCAAGGCGACGAUGGGUAGCCGGCCUGAGAGGGUGGACGGCCACACUGGGACUGAGACACGGCCCAGACUCCUACGGGAGGCAGCAGUAGGGAAUCUUGCGCAAUGGGCGGAAGCCUGACGCAGCGACGCCGCGUGGGGGACGAAGGCCUUCGGGUCGUAAACCCCUGUCUUGAGGGACGAUCAUGACGGUACCUCAAGAGGAAGCCCCGGCUAACUAC